AAGUCGUAACAAGGUUUCCGUAGGUGAACCUGCGGAAGGAUCAUUAACAUCUUAUUUGAUUUGUGUGGUGUUGGGAGUGUUUCUUCUCUUUUGGGGAGAGCACUCUCUCACCCUCAACCCCAUUGUGUGCAUGUUUGUGAGUAAGAGAUGGGUGCUUCUUGUACCUAGCUUUUCUCACUCAUAUACCCUUUCACUUCUUACAACCCAAACCCCUUCUUCUCAUCACACUAGACUGACUUACACCUCGUUUUACUCAGUCUACUGAGCAAAACAUCAAUCAGCAUACAACUCUUAGCAACGGAUAUCUAGGCUCUC
This 315-nucleotide unclassified non-coding RNA is filed under the name fungal sp. RNAcentral describes it as "partial internal transcribed spacer region". The stretch from base 1 to 46 matches the Rfam family "Eukaryotic small subunit ribosomal RNA", at positions 1786 to 1831 of the family's 1831-position model. Lineage: Eukaryota; Fungi. The record is from RNAcentral.